This 504-nucleotide ribosomal RNA is filed under the name uncultured bacterium. RNAcentral describes it as "partial 16S ribosomal RNA". It matches the Rfam family "Bacterial small subunit ribosomal RNA", at positions 30 to 523 of the family's 1533-position model. The record is from RNAcentral.
AUUGAACGCUGGCGGCAUGCCUUACACAUGCAAGUCGAACGGCAGCAUGGAGAGCUUGCUCUCUGAUGGCGAGUGGCGAACGGGUGAGUAAAGCAUCGGAACGUACCGUGUAGUGGGGGAUAACGUAGCGAAAGUUACGCUAAUACCGCAUACGCACUGAGGUGGAAAGCAGGGGAUCGUAAGACCUUGCGCUAUACGAGCGGCCGAUGUCAGAUUAGCUAGUUGGUAGGGUAAAGGCCUACCAAGGCGACGAUCUGUAGCGGGUCUGAGAGGAUGAUCCGCCACACUGGGACUGAGACACGGCCCAGACUCCUACGGGAGGCAGCAGUGGGGAAUUUUGGACAAUGGGGGCAACCCUGAUCCAGCCAUGCUGCGUGAGUGAAGAAGGCCUUCGGGUUGUAAAGCUCUUUCGGCCGGGAAGAAAUCGCACAGGCUAAUACCCUGUGUGGAUGACGGUACCGGCAUAAGAAGCACCGGCUAACUACGUGCCAGCCGCCGCGGUAA